UCCAAGAAAACUAGUCGAGUAAUGGACCUGGUGGCGAGCAAGUUGAUUGCAUCUUAAAAGAGAUUGCUCAUUUGAAGAAUAAAGGAGUCACUGGUGAUCAUGUGGUCUUUUCGUUUGUAAGCCGUCGUAUCCAGCCUCUCCAGCUUCGAAAGCAUCCUGCCUUCAGAUAUAAAGGCACACAAGAUCCCACCAGAAUGUCACUAGAACCAAUGGCUCAGUCUGAAGUAGUCAGGAGAUGCUGCAAAGUACUCGACAACUUCGAUAAGUCUUUGAAAAAACCCUCCCGGAAAUGCAUGGGUUUGUGUUUGGGAAACACUGUCGAGUACUUUUAGUUAACAUUUUUGAUCUUCUAACAAAUUCUUUGCUUCUUUUGCAGAAAAAAUAUAAGUCAUGGUAUUGCAUGCCACCGAUUUCAAUAGAUGCUACUUCUGAUGGAUCAAGAAACAAAAGGCAACUCCUGGAUCUUUGUUGUAGAGAAAAAUUCCUUGUCUCGAUGCUGGCCAGAUCCAAUAUCUUCCAGCACAUGAGAAAAAUCAAAUCCAAGACUUUCGUAACUGGGUGCAGAGUGGUUCGGAAGGAACUAGUCGAUCGGCCCCCGAGUCUCCAGUAAUUGGGUUGAUCGAGAACCCAUCUGCUGGUUUGCCAAAUGUAGACACGGCUGAGAUAUCAAAUGUGCCAAACCCUUAAGCACCCGAACGUACUCCUGCAGCUGCUGAGGGUGCCUCCAAUGCUGAUGGAACUGGUAGUAGUGGAGCUCAAGGAUCAAGAGGUCCUGCCGUUCGACUGGUGCCCUUUCAAUCUAGGCCUCAGUCAACCCAGGAGGAGUUGGGAAAGGAAUUGUUUGGUGAUCCGUUGUUGUCCAUAGAUAAUGUAAAGAAGCUUGCUGACUAUAUGCAAUGGAGCUUCAAAUAUACCAAGGAGAGCCUUCUGCUGCUACUUGUCUUCUUCGAGUAGUUGGUGAUGUUUGACCAGUCUUGCCUUGUAUGUUACAGGACGUUGCCAAUCGGUCUUUUUUAAAGUCUCAAGCUUUGUAUAAGACUGUUGACAAUCGGAAAACCUUAGAGCAGUAGAACGCCCUGAUUGCCAAACGACUAGAUGAAUCACUUGCUGCUCGGAACAAGCUGUAUGAAGCAAACCGAAAGCAUCAUCUAGAAAUUUGUGAUAUGAAGCGGCAGAUCAAGGGCCUAGGAGAAGAAAGAUCAAAGCUCCAGGAAGAGAAUUCAAAGCUUCAAAAACAGUUGCAGAUUACUCAAGCUUGCUCUCCAGAUGACCAUACUCGACUGGUAGCAGCAGCUCAUGUCAUUGUGGACAUGGUUGAUUUUGAAGAGGGGUCGUCGAAUAGCAAAUCCUUGGAAGAACGUUUAGAAGAGGCUCCCAAGAAGAUCUUUGAUGUCAUGACGGCUACCUCCAAGAAUUAUCUGACCCACAUGAUAGGAGUUGUCAAAUCUUACUUGCCUCAGUUCAAUUUAGCUCCCAUAGCUAAAGGAAUAGCUCCCAAUUGUUCUGAUGAGAAAUUUCGGGACCAUUGUAAAGAAUCAGAAGUGAUUGCUGAUGAAAUUCUGAAGAACUUGGCAGAGUAAACUGUUUGUAACAACUCAUUGUCUUUGUAAACAUUGCUCUUAUCCCAUUGGUAUGUCUUCAGAAAUAUUAUCUGAUACCGUAGGAUAUGUACA
Panicum virgatum (switchgrass) is the source of this 1673-nucleotide long non-coding RNA. RefSeq lists it as uncharacterized. The record is from RefSeq and is a predicted model, not a curated record. The transcript has 3 exons. Lineage: Eukaryota; Viridiplantae; Streptophyta; Magnoliopsida; Poales; Poaceae.